Microstroma glucosiphilum is the source of this 86-nucleotide non-coding RNA. NCBI's taxonomy places the organism in Eukaryota, Fungi, Basidiomycota, Exobasidiomycetes, Microstromatales, Microstromataceae. The record is from the annotation of a RefSeq genome assembly.
GGCCUCGUAACUCAAUGGUUAGAGUGUCACCCUUCUACUACUGAUGUUCCAGGUGAAAGCUUCGAGUUCGAGUCUCGACUGGGCCC